Molecule: ribosomal RNA, 775 nt
Filed under: uncultured Neocallimastigales
Lineage: Eukaryota; Fungi; Neocallimastigomycota; Neocallimastigomycetes; Neocallimastigales
Description: partial large subunit ribosomal RNA
Rfam family: Eukaryotic large subunit ribosomal RNA
Source: RNAcentral
CGCAUCUGUGCAUGCAGCAUAUCAAUAAGCGGAGGAAAAGAAACUAACAAGGAUUCCCUUAGUAACGGCGAGUGAAGCGGGAAGAGCUCAAAUUUGAAAUCUUCAAGGUUUUACCUUGACGAAUUGUAGUUUAAAGAAGUGUUUUCUGUUGAAGUUUUGGUAAAAGUUCUUUGGAAUAGGACAUCAUAGAGGGUGAGAAUCCCGUAUUUGACCAUUAGUUUUCAGCUGUGUGAUACACUUUCAAAGAGUCGGAUUGUUUGGGAAUGCAGUCCAAAAUGGGUGGUAAAUUUCAUCUAAAGCUAAAUAUUGGCGAGAGACCGAUAGCGAACAAGUACCGUGAGGGAAAGAUGAAAAGAACUUUGAAAAGAGAGUUAAACAGUACGUGAAAUUGUCAAAAGGGAAGCGUUUGACACCAGUGUUGUUUUCUCGAAAAUCAAUUAAAAAGAGUUUGAUUUUGUUGUGUAUUGACCUUAACAGCUUGCAUUUCAAUUUUCUUGCUUUUUUUAAUGCACUUUUCGUUUAACAAGUCAACAUCAGUUUCUUUUGUUGUAAAAAGGUCAUUGGAAGGUGGCUUUCUUUUCGGAGAAAGUGUUUAUAGCCUUUGACUCCUGCAAUCGGAGAGACUGAGGUCUGCAGCGUAGAUCCUUCGGGGUUAGAUACAUUUGUGCUAAGUUAUAGCUUUUUAUAGACAACUUGUUGACUAUGAUUAGUCUUGUAGCUUACUCGCUUAUGCUAUUUUACCUACGCUUAGGAUGUUGACACACGCGCGUGCUCG